Molecule: ribosomal RNA, 701 nt
Filed under: bacterium Riz2
Lineage: Bacteria
Description: bacterial SSU rRNA
Rfam family: Bacterial small subunit ribosomal RNA
Source: RNAcentral
CUACACAUGCAGUCGAGCGGCAGCGGGUCCUUCGGGAUGCCGGCGAGCGGCGGACGGGUGAGUAAUGCCUAGGAAUCUGCCUGGUAGUGGGGGAUAACUCGGGGAAACUCGAGCUAAUACCGCAUACGUCCUACGGGAGAAAGCGGGGGAUCUUCGGACCUCGCGCUACCAGAUGAGCCUAGGUCGGAUUAGCUAGUUGGUGAGGUAAAGGCUCACCAAGGCGACGAUCCGUAGCUGGUCUGAGAGGAUGAUCAGCCACACUGGAACUGAGACACGGUCCAGACUCCUACGGGAGGCAGCAGUGGGGAAUAUUGGACAAUGGGCGAAAGCCUGAUCCAGCCAUGCCGCGUGUGUGAAGAAGGUCUUCGGAUUGUAAAGCACUUUAAGUUGGGAGGAAGGGCAGUAAGUUAAUACCUUGCUGUUUUGACGUUACCGACAGAAUAAGCACCGGCUAACUUCGUGCCAGCAGCCGCGGUAAUACGAAGGGUGCAAGCGUUAAUCGGAAUUACUGGGCGUAAAGCGCGCGUAGGUGGUUUGAUAAGUUGGAUGUGAAAGCCCCGGGCUCAACCUGGGAAUUGCAUCCAAAACUGUCUGACUAGAGUAUGGCAGAGGGUGGUGGAAUUUCCUGUGUAGCGGUGAAAUGCGUAGAUAUAGGAAGGAACACCAGUGGCGAAGGCGACCACCUGGGCUAAUACUGACAC